Danio rerio (zebrafish) is the source of this 563-nucleotide non-coding RNA. Lineage: Eukaryota; Metazoa; Chordata; Actinopteri; Cypriniformes; Danionidae. The record is from RefSeq and is a predicted model, not a curated record.
CAGACCAACACAUUUCACUGGACUGGAAAUUUGGGAGAGAAAAUGCAGGUGAAGAGCAGAGCCAUGAUGGAGAUGCUUCUGUUCUUCAGCCUCAGGACACACACUUCAUCUGCAGUUUUGAUUCAUGCGCUGGAUUCACAAACACAUCAGCUGAAUAAUCUUCAUAGCUGAGCUGUACCUGCAGUCUCUGAGCAUCAGAGGACAGAACACACACUCCUCCACUCAUCUUACGCUGUGUAGAGCAUGAGCUAAAGCAAUGCUUCCUCAGAUGAUGAAGAUCUGCGCAGUAUUUACUCUCUCAGGUGGAUCCAGCUCUUAUGGGUUUGUUUAAUAACACAACAGUAGAUAUUUUGAAGAAUGUUUGGCCACUGAUGCCCCCAGGGAGCGAAGCUGGAGAGUCACUCUGACCUCUGACCUUGAGCUGGAGGUCACACACACACACAUACACCACUGACCUUCACUGACACAUCUGUGCAGACUCACUCUGGAGGAGGAUCACACACACACACACACACGUGCACACACACACACACACACACACACACACACACACACACACACAC